This 1337-nucleotide long non-coding RNA is filed under the name Oryctolagus cuniculus (rabbit). RNAcentral describes it as "lncRNA (ENSOCUG00000030627.1)". Lineage: Eukaryota; Metazoa; Chordata; Mammalia; Lagomorpha; Leporidae. The record is from RNAcentral.
ACGUUGUUUCGGAGCCGCAUGCCGCACCGAGGAUGGGUGACAAUUAAAGCAGUUAAGUAAGCGUGCUGGACAGCCACUUUCCCACACCGAACCGGAAUCGCGCCCAAACUGCCCAGCACCGCGCGGCCGCGGCCCCAUGUCGCGGAUGAGACCGCCGAGACGCGCAGGCUGUGAAUGGGCCGAGCCUUGCGUUCGGGUCUCCGCAGACCACCUUGCGGGUAACCGACGAGCCAGCACUCGCUUAAUACCCGUGGGUAACAGGUGCAGGCGCAGCCGGUCUGACUGGGAUCGUGCCCUAAAGGAUGCUUCUUCUGACUGCAAUGAGACAGGCGCAUCUGUGAAACCAGACCCUUCCGGUUCCUGCCUGCGGCCAUGCAGCCCUGGUUCCAUGUUACCUGCCAACCCGACUAUGAGUUCAGACCACCUCAGUGUUCUCAGUCUGCACCAGUGAUGAUGCACAGACACGCUUGUGACUGCUCCGGUUGCCUUAGAAAUCAAGGCAAGGCACGCUGAGGGGCCAACAGGAGACAGCUACAAGUAGGAAGGAGAGCAGAAACUUUCAUGGCUGGCAACCAGCACCUGGCAGGAUACAGAACGAGAAUUAGCACCUGGUGAGCUGCUGGGGAGAGCAGAUGCUGUGUAUAAAGCUGGCCACUGACAGGGCAAUGGCUAAAGACAGAGCCAGAGGCUACGGGGAGAGGGUAUAGCCGGGACCUAUCAAAGAAGCAAAGACAAGUGCGGGCCCCACUCUCCCAAACUCCCUUGCUGAUGGACUCACAGUGGCUGGACCUGAGUCCAGCAAAACAGCAAGUGUUAUUUUCCUUCUACUUUAUUUUUUAAAGAUUUAUUUAUUUGGAAGGCAGAGCGACAGAGGGAAAGAGACAGAGAUCUUCCAUCCAAUGGUUCAUUCCCCAGGAGGCAGCCAGGAACCUAGAACUAACCCGGUCUCCCACAUGGGUGACAGGGAGCCAGGGACUUGAGCCAUCAUGUGCUGCUUUUCCAGGUGCAUUAGCAGGAAGCUGGAUGGGAAGCUGAGCAGCCGGGAUUCAAAACCAGCAGUUAGGUAAGGGAAGCGGAUGGUCGUAAGCAGCAGCUGAAGCCACAGUGUCAGAGAACCAGCCACCUUCCCUGCAUUUUAAUGCUCCAUCCGGGAGCAGACUAGCACGGGGCUGAAAAUGCUGUGCCCUGAAGCGACACGGGCAGGCAUCCUGCCUCUGAGACGAGCACUGGGCCUUGAGUAAGACAUUCAACCUCCCUUGGCUUCAGUUCUUUUUGCCAUGAAAUGGAUAAACCUCAUAAGGCUUGGAAGAUUAAAUAAACCAUUUAAGUUCACAGCA